This is a long non-coding RNA of Eucalyptus grandis, 1271 nucleotides long. RefSeq lists it as uncharacterized. The transcript has 3 exons. The record is from RefSeq and is a predicted model, not a curated record. Lineage: Eukaryota; Viridiplantae; Streptophyta; Magnoliopsida; Myrtales; Myrtaceae.
AACUGCCGUUAAACCAAAUCUCUCUAGGCGAAAUUUUCAUGCCACAUGGCACGCUCCCGUUAGUUAAAAUCCUCGCUAUCCACGAUAUAGGACAUAUGGUGCCCAAUGGUUUAAUCAAUUUUCGUGAUAGCUUCCUUCAGUGAUUCGUGCGCCAACUGCGGCCUCAGUCCACUUCAUUAACGAGGUAGCAUCCCCCGUUCUGUUGUCACAACUCAACAGAAUACUCAGAGGACAUCAGAAAAGAAUUACAGGCCUUGCCUUCUCAAAUGUCUUAAAUGUUCUCGUGUCUUCUGGCGCUGACUCUCAGGUCAUGAAGGCAUCCUUUUCUGGCGGAAUAAAUCCUUCCAGAAAACUUCAUCUUUCGUGUCGACAAAUUAAUCUUAACCCAUUAAGUAUGAAAAAAGAAGCUAUGAUGUCCUUACAAUGGACAGAUUGGUGUGAUUCUGAUAUAAAUACACAAUAUAGAAUUUUCUUCUUUCAUUUGUGCAUCAAUGUUGUUGUCCCCUUUGAUUGUGUAUCAUCACUGCAGUUCUAAGAAAUUGUUAUGAAAUCCGCCUCCUGGAACCAUCGAACUUUCGCAGUUCAGAACCGGUGAAGCAAAUGAUGCUAUAAUACAUGUAAAAGCUCAACUACCUCCCAUCUGAAAUACUCCCUCUACCAAGAUUUGCGAAUUGGUAUAACUUGAAUACCAGUUUGAGUGAGAAUUACAUUAGGCAACAUCAUCAGAUGAGGGGUAAUUUUCCAAUGAAGUUGGAGUUGAGACUUCCCAGGUAAAGAUGACCCUCGAACUCAAAUGCUGAGGUAACGAACGAGAUGACUUUCCCGUCAGGAUCGUCAAGCUUCUUGAUUAUCUUGCCAUCAGCUCCCACAUGCAAAACACUCGCUUUUCCGUACACUCCAUUCACUUUCUUGAUCAAACUUGGGUAUGUUGCUAUCAAGUGCUUGGCUGCCUUGGAGGCGUGCACGAACUCCCACCCUUCAGAUGUCAACUGCACCAAAUUUGCAAAGAGCAUGGAUAGAGCAUCCGAAAUACAUGGUCCGAAAGAAGCCGAACCGCUCACAAUGUAAUGCAUGUAGUUUUGCCCAAAAUCAGGGGCACCAUUAUCUCCUUAAGAGCACUAAUCACUUUGGAUUUUAGAUUUUUAAUUAUUAUGUUGCGAAAAUCCUACGCAUAUACCUGCACUAGGGCAAUCCAAAAAGAUCCGUCCGGUGCAAGAUUGAUGUUUUCAGGUCCGCCAGGAAGAUUGUCAAUGAAAAUCUCCGUUUUCCCA